CGCGGUAUUUUGACCGUGCAAAGGUAGCAUAAUCAUUAGUUUAUUAAUUGUGGACUUGUAUGAAUGGUUAUACGAAAUAUUAACUGUCUCAUAUUUAUAUUUAAAAUUUAAAUUUUUAGUCAAAAUGCUUAAAUGUCUUUAAAGGACGAGAAGACCCUAUAGAUCUUUAUUUUUAAUAUGUAUAUAUAUUUUAGAUUAUAUAUUUAUAUUUAUAUUAUUUAUUUUGUUGGGGCGACAUAAAUAUACAAUUAACUAUUUAUUAUUAUAAUCAAUUAUUUUUGUUUAGUUGACCUUUUUUUAUUGUUAUAAGACUUAGAUACCUUAGGGAUAACAGCGUAAUUCUUUUUGAGAGUUCAUAUCGACAAAGGAGAUUGCGACCUCGAUGUUGGAUUAAGAUUAUAGUUAGGUGUAGGUGCUUAAUUAUUAAGUCUGUUCGACUUUUAAAUUCUUACAUGAUCUGAGUUCAAAACCGGAG
Molecule: ribosomal RNA, 475 nt
Filed under: Micadina sp. 2 SB-2021
Lineage: Eukaryota; Metazoa; Arthropoda; Insecta; Phasmatodea; Lonchodidae
Description: partial large subunit ribosomal RNA
Rfam family: Bacterial large subunit ribosomal RNA
Source: RNAcentral